UAAUAGAUAAGUGUAAAAUUGAGACUUUAACAUUUUCAUGCAAUUUAUAUCAACAUGAUAUGCUAGAGUGUCGGUUCUACAACUAUCACAAA
Molecule: microRNA precursor, 92 nt
Filed under: Tribolium castaneum (red flour beetle)
Lineage: Eukaryota; Metazoa; Arthropoda; Insecta; Coleoptera; Tenebrionidae
Description: microRNA tca-mir-11624a precursor (tca-mir-11624a-1)
Source: miRBase by way of RNAcentral